This 253-nucleotide ribosomal RNA is filed under the name uncultured bacterium. RNAcentral describes it as "partial 16S ribosomal RNA". It matches the Rfam family "Bacterial small subunit ribosomal RNA", at positions 524 to 776 of the family's 1533-position model. The record is from RNAcentral.
UACGAAGGGUGCAAGCGUUACUCGGAAUUACUGGGCGUAAAGCGUGCGUAGGUGGUUUGUUAAGUCUGCUGUGAAAGCCCCGGGCUCAACCUGGGAAUGGCAGUGGAUACUGGCAAGCUAGAGUGCGGUAGAGGGGUGUGGAAUUCCCGGUGUAGCGGUGAAAUGCGCAGAUAUCGGGAGGAACACCUAUGGCGAAGGCAGCUCGCUGGGACGUUACUGACGCUGAGACGCGAAAGCGUGGGGAGCAAACAGG